RNAcentral lists this long non-coding RNA (246 nucleotides) under Capsella rubella. RNAcentral describes it as "long non-coding RNA (CRUB_LNC005150)". The record is from RNAcentral. Lineage: Eukaryota; Viridiplantae; Streptophyta; Magnoliopsida; Brassicales; Brassicaceae.
UUCAAUCUAUUGAUAGAGAGAUCAUCAAUUCUAUCUCUUCAAGAUGUCAUCGCAAAAGUUUCAAAAAACUAAUACGUCUAUAGAUCCGAUGAAAAAUAUGCUCUCUUGGGUUUUGUUAUUUGCUUCCUUGUAUUUUCUCUCUUUUUGCCAAGGAAUCAAAUGUUUAAGUUUUCUUUAUGUAAAUCUAAACCACUUUUAUUUUAUAUGAUAUUUACCACUUAGCCAAAAAAAAAAAAAAAAAAAAAA